RNAcentral lists this ribosomal RNA (428 nucleotides) under uncultured Veillonella sp. RNAcentral describes it as "bacterial SSU rRNA". It matches the Rfam family "Bacterial small subunit ribosomal RNA", at positions 355 to 775 of the family's 1533-position model. Lineage: Bacteria; Bacillati; Bacillota; Negativicutes; Veillonellales; Veillonellaceae. The record is from RNAcentral.
UGGGGAAUCUUCCGCAAUGGACGAAAGUCUGACGGAGCAACGCCGCGUGAGUGAAGAAGGUUUUCGGAUCGUAAAGCUCUUUCGUUAGGGACGAACGUGCUCUUUGUGAAUAAUGAGGAGUAAUGACGGUACCUAAAUAAGAAGCCACGGCUAACUACGUGCCAGCAGCCGCGGUAAUACGUAGGUGGCAAGCGUUGUCCGGAAUUAUUGGGCGUAAAGCGCGCGCAGGCGGGAUAUCAAGUCUGUCUUAAAAGUGCGAGGCUCAAACUCGUGAUGGGACGGAAACUGGUAUUCUUGAGUGUCGGAGAGGAAAGUGGAAUUCCAAGUGUAGCGGUGAAAUGCGUAGAGAUUUGGAAGAACACCAGUGGCGAAGGCGACUUUCUGGACGAUGUCUGACGCUGAGGCGCGAAAGCUAGGGGAGCGAACGG